This is a long non-coding RNA of Pomacea canaliculata, 570 nucleotides long. RefSeq lists it as uncharacterized. The transcript is spliced from 4 exons. The record is from RefSeq and is a predicted model, not a curated record. NCBI's taxonomy places the organism in Eukaryota, Metazoa, Mollusca, Gastropoda, Architaenioglossa, Ampullariidae.
GUGUCCGAUCCCUCCCUAGGGGAGAAGUUAUCACCCUUGUGUUACAGGCUCAAGCCGAGGUGCAUCGUCUAGUGAGAAGUCCGAAGAUUGUAAUCUGACUCAGUGUCCUGUCAACGCUCGAUAAUGUUUGGAAAGCUGGUGGCGUUUCUUAUUGGCACCUAUGCUGGGAUUUACGUAGAUCAACACUACAAGCUUCCAAAGGUGGAUGAACCAUCAUCAAUAUGGAACAGAAUCAAAGAGUUUUCAGAACAGUACAAAAAAGACAACCCAGGCUCAUCAAAAGGGGACUGAAUAUUGGUGGAAGUAGGACUGUGAUAUAAAAGUGGGAGAGUGAAGAUGAUUGAAUUACAAAAUGUACAAAACUUUUUACCUAAAUAUUUUGAAUGAAAUUUGUGUAGACACUAUGAUAGUGUGUGAGAGAGAGUGAGUGUGUGCGUGCAACCAUGCACAUAAGCACUUGACCGAAAACAGACCUUCCAACUUUUUUUUUUGGUAAUAUAUAUUUGAAAAUCUCAGCUAUAUGUGAUUGUCUAUUGCUACAUUAUACAGUAAAAAAAUUGAAAAUUUUCA